GCCAGAGUGGCGGAACUGGCAUACGCGCCAGAUUCAAAAUCUGGUGGCCGCAAGGUCGUGCGGGUUCGAUUCCCGCCUCUGGCACCA
This 87-nucleotide transfer RNA is filed under the name Planctomycetes bacterium ADurb.Bin069. RNAcentral describes it as "tRNA-Leu". It matches the Rfam family "tRNA". Rfam says of the family: Transfer RNA (tRNA) molecules are approximately 80 nucleotides in length. Their secondary structure includes four short double-helical elements and three loops (D, anti-codon, and T loops). Further hydrogen bonds mediate the characteristic L-shaped molecular structure. tRNAs have two regions of fundamental functional importance: the anti-codon, which is responsible for specific mRNA codon recognition, and the 3' end, to which the tRNAs corresponding amino acid is attached (by aminoacyl-tRNA synthetases). tRNAs cope with the degeneracy of the genetic code in two manners: having more than one tRNA (with a specific anti-codon) for a particular amino acid; and 'wobble' base-pairing, i.e. permitting non-standard base-pairing at the 3rd anti-codon position. Lineage: Bacteria; Pseudomonadati; Planctomycetota. The record is from RNAcentral. RNAcentral also lists the same sequence under 1 other name.